This 373-nucleotide unclassified non-coding RNA is filed under the name uncultured bacterium. RNAcentral's name for it is "contains 16S-23S intergenic spacer region". The record is from RNAcentral.
UCCGGUUUGUCACCGGCAGUCUCGCAUGAGUCCCCAACUGAAUGCUGGCAACAUGCGACGGGGGUUGCGCUCGUUGCGCCACUUAAGGCAACACCUCACGGCACGAUCUGACGACGGCCGUGCAGCACCUGUGCGGGCUCCCGAAGGAGGACCGUAUUUCUACGGCUUCACCCCGCAUGUCAAGUCCUGGUAAGGUUCUUCGCGUCGCGUCGAAUUAAGCCACAUGCUCCGCCGCUUGUGCGGGCCCCCGUCAAUUCCUUUGAGUUUUAAUCUUGCGACCGUACUCCCCAGGCGGGAUGCUUAAAGCGUUAGCUGCGCCACUGACGAGCAAGCUCGCCAACGGCUAGCAUCCAUCGUUUACGGCGUGGACUAC